Oryza sativa Indica Group (long-grained rice) is the source of this 203-nucleotide microRNA precursor. It matches the Rfam family "MIR812 microRNA precursor family". Lineage: Eukaryota; Viridiplantae; Streptophyta; Magnoliopsida; Poales; Poaceae. The record is from Rfam.
UUUAAAUACAAACCAUAAGUUUUCGUAUCUAAUUUUAAUCAUCUGUCUUAUUUAAUUUUUUUUAUAAUUAAUAUUUUUAUUCUUACAAGAUAAUAAAACAUGAAUAAUACUUUAUGCGUGAUUUAUGUUUUCAAUUUUUUUAAAAAAAAUUAAAUAAGACGGACGAUAAAAAUUGGGCACGGAAAAUUAUGGUUGCACUUAAA